This 21123-nucleotide long non-coding RNA is filed under the name Sorghum bicolor (sorghum). Its description in RNAcentral is "long non-coding RNA (SBIC_LNC003875)". The record is from RNAcentral. Lineage: Eukaryota; Viridiplantae; Streptophyta; Magnoliopsida; Poales; Poaceae.
UUUAAAGUUUUUGGGUAUGAAACAAAGCACGACAACAAUAUAGCAGCAGCAAGGAUGUCUUUAUAGUAAAGUGGCAAGACAGUGAUUGAGAGAAUAAAACAGAAAAUAUGCACGUUGACAUACAUUCUUUCUUCUUGCCAGAAGCCUUGGCAGCAGCAGCACGCUCUUCAGCAGCCUUCUUCUCCUCUUCAGUCUCCUCACCAAAAAGGUCAACAUCAUCGUCGUCGUCAUCGUCAGCUGCUGGGGCCUGUGGUUAUUAGAAAUGCACUUCAGUGACUAAAACGAGUAACUAAGAAGUUCCUAUUUCUGAUAUUGAACCACAUGGUUGAUGAUAACUAUAGAAAACAAUAAUAAUUCAAACCAGCAAUCAACACAAAUUAUGUGAGCAUAUAAUAAAACUACUAACAAUUUUCAGCCAAAAAAUCACAAAGAAUUAGCACAACACGUAAAUUCAUUUAUAGUUUUCAGCUACAAUAGGAGUUAAGAAACUAUACCUCAGCAACAUCAGGAGUUGAGGCUGAAGGAACUGCUGAUGACUCAACCUUGACACCUAGGCCCUCUGCAGUAACUCCACUGAAAUUGUAUGGAUUAUCAGAACACUCACAAUGCUAACAGGAUACCUAGUAGGAAAUAUAAAGGCCAAGAAAGGCAUACCUCAGCCUCAAGAGUGCAUCAAUGUGAGUAAACCACCUUGCUACGUUGAUAUACUUGGAUGAGGGAGCAGCCGAAAAUGAAGAGUAGACAGCCAGAUCAUCCUUGGAAGCUUGGUAGCUAGAGACAGCAGCAUAAGUUCAGUACAAAGGUUAUGCCAUUGUGCAAACAGAGUGGCUAGAAUCACAUACCCAGUGAUGUAGCUGCGAGUCAAAAGGUACUCAUCAAGCUUUUUCAGCCCUGCCUCAGAGUUGACGUUUGCGAAAGAAAACGCCAUCUCCCCUUGAGAAAGAUUAACAAGUGAUCUGAUGGCACAUAUGAGGUCGGUGUUAGAACAACUUGAAGUGUCAAAUCAUGACAAGAGUUAAACAGGCAUUCAAUGAACAGAGAACAAUGAUGCUACUAUAAUACUGCAGAGCAUUAUCCAAAUCCUUAAACAACUCGUAUAUAUUAGAUCUAACAACAAGCACCCUGAACCCAAAUCCAAACCAAGGAUAUGUUUCCGAACUCUGAAUAUCCAAACCAAAGCUAUGUUUUUGAAGUAUCCAAACCAAAGCUAUGUUUCCGAAGUAUCCAAACCAAAGCUAUGUUUCCGAAGUAUCCAAACCAAAACAAUGUUUCUGAAGUGUCAGAUUAGUUCAGAGCUUAGGUGACAACUUAUGGGGACAGAACCACAUGGUAAACAGAAAGUUUUAAACAGAAGACUGAGAUCUACAGGGACAGUUCGUGUACCUGACUCGGAUCGGGAUUGGUAGACUCGCAAAUUCAUAACUAUUUAUUGUAGAAUCGUACCCGACAAAGACAAAAUAAGAAGAAUGAUCAUAAAAGUCAUAAAAUUGCACCCACAUAAUCGCGAUUUUAACAAGUAUACGACAGCAACGGUAUAUAAGAAACUAACGAACUAAAUCACCACAUGGGUUUUGCUACAAAGUAGAACGAAGAACUAGCUAAUAAUGGAAUUCAGAUUAGAUGCUAUCUCAACACUUGAAACCACUGGGAUCCAGGGGCGGAUCUAGUAACGGGACACGCGUGUACACAUGUAUAGCCGAUAAUUUUUGCAAAAAAUUACAAGUUCGUAAGCAUCAGACAGCCAAAUCGCUUGAGGUUAGAGUUUGGGAACUCGGUUUCGCACACCAGCAGACAUGGAACUAGGGAAGAGAAGUGGGGAUACCUGGUGGGCGCUCUUCGCCGGAGCCGGGAGGAGAGGGAGAGACUGGUGGCGGCUGGCACUUGGGAUGAGGGGCGGAGGCUGCUGGCUGUUAGGGUUUUAUAUAUAUCCGCUGACUGUAGUUGGGCCUUUAAUGGGCCUUCUCGUUCGCCAUUGCCCGCGCCGCCAGCCGCGUCCACGUUCUGUACGCCUGACCAGGUGCCCGCCAACGGGCAAUGACUGUUUCUUCCCUCAUCGGCCCAGUUGACUGUUUUCUUAACGCAUCGGCCCAGUUUGUCCUCAGCCCAGAAUAUACUGGUUGAUUCCUCCACACGGUCUUUUCCUUUUUCAGAUGCCUUCUUCUAUUACGAAGCGAGCACCUGGUAUAUAUUUUCUAAGUAUCUCUCUAAAAAAAAUGGCGUUUGCUUAUUAUUAUUUUUUUAUUUUCUGUUUUUUAUUAUUAUUUUAUGUCUUCGUUUUAUUUCCUUGCUUUUUUACUUAUUUUCAUUUUUAUCUUUCUUUAAUUUAUGUUUGCUUUUAAUGUAAUUAAUUAUUUUUAUUUAUUUUCAUGUUUUAUCAUUUUUGUCUUUAUAUUUCCUGUUACAAUUUUUGUAUAUUAUCUUAUUUUUUUGUUUUUUAUCUUUAAAAUUUUAUUACUUUAACUUACUUUUUUUAUUUUCAUGUUCUAGUUUUUUUAUUUUCUGUAUUCUAUUCUAUAAGAUACAUAUGAUGUUCGAGCGGUAUACGUGCGAUGUUCAAUGGUAUAUUUUUUUUAUUCAUUGUAUGAGAUGUUUCAUAAUGUAUCUGGGGAUGUUUACCUAGUAUAGAAGGGAUGUUCUCGAGUGUAUCUUUUAGUAUUCACAUUGUACUGUGAGGAAUUUUUGUGGUAUAUUUUUAGGUUGUUUGAGUAGUAUCUGUGCGAUGUUCUUUUCUACUUUCCUCUAUUGUGUUGAUUUUUUUCAUUUCCCCUUAUGUAUUGUUCUACUUUUUAUUUUAUUUUUUUGCUUUUCAUGUGAUAUUUGGUGGCAUAUUUCAAAUGUUCUCUUUUUAAUACUAUAAUAGAGACGCAUAUAUAAAGUAUUAUAUUCCGAUAUAAUUUUAUUUACCUAAUAAAAAAUAUUGUUGUCCUCGAAAGUGCAUUUAGGUCUUACGUGAGUUUGGUGGAUUGAGAGGGUGUUUGAUCCCCAGGACUAAAGUUUAGUCUGUCACAUUGGAUGUUUAGAUACCAAUUUGGAGGACUAAACAUGAUCUAACUAUAAGCAUAAGUUGUCGCUAAAGCCGUGUGAUUGUGCAUUGAUGUUUUGGUGGACUGAGGGGUGUUUGGAUCCCCAAAACUAUAAUAUGAAUCUAUUAAUGUUUUUUACGUAAAUCCAUGUAGAGUUCCGCGUGGUGUUAAAAAUAUAGUCAUAUUAUAUGUUAUUAAUACGCAUAUUCUAUGCUAUUAAUGUAGAUGAGAACUGAGUCCGGGUUGUUUAUUAAAAAUGCAUGAUCUGGCAAGCAAGUGUGUUAUCAAAUAAAUAAGACAUUAGAUUUUGCAUAUGGAGUGGUCUCAUGAUUCGUUUGUUGCUAUUGUCGAAUACUUCACCAAAAGAUACAUAUCAAAUGCAAUAUGUGAAACAUGCAAAGAAAUUUAGCAUAUAGAGACAAUUAAAGAAAGGAUGUUGCGAAAGUUUCUUUAGGUCAUAGGACAACACACAUUUUACUUUCAUCAUGUCUCUUUAUAACCAUGUCAUCUAUGGUUGGUGAAUAUAAUAGACUGUAUAUAUAUUGGCAGUUUUUUCUAAGAAAAACAAAUAAUAACUUCAGAGAUAAAAUUGAUUGGCUGAUGCGAGAGUCUGUCUAAACGACUACGCUUAUAAGUUGAUUUAGAAGUCAAUUAUUUUAUUAAAAGUAAACAAAAGAAAGAGACUUGACCUUAGAUUUCCAUUUUCUUCAAACCUGUGGAUGGUUUCCAUCACAUCAUGGCCGCUGUCACGUAAUUACGUAAAUACAAGCACAAUGAUUUUCCUUUUUCAGAACACUAAUUUAACAAAGACCAUGGCAUUGCAAAGCAAGGCACUGCCGUGCUGGUAACCGUGCAUACUGUAAGACGUUGAAAAUGCAACAUGAUGCAUUGAUAUGCGAUAUAGAUAGGCCUUGUUUACUUGGGAAUUUUUUUGCAAAAUUGCUACAGUAACUCUUUGUUUGUAUGUGACAAAUAUUGUCCAAACAUAAACUAACUAGGCUCAAAAGAUUUGUCUCGUAAAUUCGACCAAACUGUACAAUUAGUUUUUAUUUUUAUCUAUAUUUAAUACUCUAUGCGUGUGUCUAAAGAUUUGAUGUGACGGGGAAUCUUGAAAAAUUUUACGUUUUGGUUUAGAAGUAAACAAGGUCAUAGAUAAACCUUAGUUAGGCCGUAUGCCAAACGAAACACAACAUAUCUGGCUGGUUCCUUCCCCAAUUCGUUUGUGGUUUUCGGCCCACUCGACCACCGACGGUUUGGCCAGAGCACUCACAAGUUUCUUUUGGCAGCACGUACUCCGUCGAAUAGACUAAACGUUUAUUAUGAUUAAUCCGACGCUGCUGGCGCCCUGUUUAGUUUCCCACCAACAAAUUUUCAUCCAUCCCAUCGAAUCGUUGGACAAAUGUAUGAAACAUUAAAUGUAGAUAAAAAAUAAACUAAUUAUACAGUUUGGUUGAAAAUCACGAGAUGAAUCUUUUAAGUUUAGUUAGUCUAAGAUUAGUCUUAGGUGCUACAGUAACCCAUAUAUACUAAUGACAGAUUAAUUAUGCUUAAUAGAUUUGUCUUGCAGUUUUUCCAGACAAGAUAUGUAAUUUGUUUUUUAUUAGUUUGUAAAACCAUUUUCAAUAUACUUACGACAUAUCCGAUGUGGCAUUUAAAUUUUUUUUUAUCUCCAACACCUCUGUACCGGCUGUGAUGGGGAGGGGACGGACACGUGGUCAUCCAGAUAGCACGUCAAGGACCCUCAAUUACGCUUCCCGAGGCCACAAGCAAAGAUGCUAGUACUCAGGCCUUGUUUAGUUCACCUUAAAAAGCAAAAAGUUUUUAAGAUUCUACAUCAUAUCGAAUCUCGUGUCACAUGCAUGAAACAUUAAAUAUAGACGAAAAAAAACUAAUUACACAGUUUAGUUAUAAAUCACGAGACGAAUCUUUUAAUCCUAGUUAGUCCAUGAUUAAAUAAUAUUUGUUACAAACAAACGAAAGUGCUACAGUACCGAAAUUUUUUCAAUUUUCGAAACUAAACAAGGCCUCAUUAAACAAAAACUUUGUCAAAACUCGCCAUAUCCGAUGUCUUAUCGGCGUCCCAAGAAGUACUGGCGUUUAUUUGGUCGAGGUGUACCAAGACACACAUCACCCACAAUCAGGCCGUUUUGGUGCCUCGCCGUCGUAGCGUAGGACAGGCAGAUCAGAUCAGAUCACCGAUCAUGUUUUUUUUUUUUGAGUAAAGUCCAUCAGCGGUCCCUAAACUUGUUCGGAUGUGUCAUCCCAGUCCUUAAACUUGCAAAAUGACCGUUUAGGUACCUAAACUUGUUCGGUUGUGUCAUCCUGGUCUCUAAACUUAAAAAUCUCCCAUAUAGGUCAUCAAACUUGUUCAGUUGUGUCAUCCCGGUCCCUAAACUUGUUUUUAAGUCUUAUCUGGGUCAAAACAGGACGAAUCUAAAAACUCUAUAUUGAAAAAUAAUUCAUAACUUUUUUAUAUGAACUCAAAUGAAGAUAAACUUUAUAUCAAAAUUGUAGGCAGCAACAUGAUCUACAACUUUGCAGUUGAAAAGUUUUUAAAUUAAAAUCGUUUAGGUUCCCAAAAUAUUUUUUAUAAGUUUAUAGAUUUUAAAAUUUAAAAUUUAAAAUUAAAUUUUAUAACACUAAACGACUUCAAAUAAAAAACUUUUCAACUACAAAGUUGUAGAUUGUGCUGAGGACUAUAACUUUGGUAUAAAAUUUGUCUUCAUUUGAGUUCAUAUGAAAAAGUUAUGAAUUAUUUUUUGAUAUAGAGUUGUUAGAUCGCUUUGUUUUGACCCAGAUGAGAUUCAAAACCAAGCUUAGGGACCGAGAUGACACAACUGAACAACUUUGAGGAUCUAAACGGAUGAUUUCUAAGUUUAGGGACCGGGAUGACACAAUUGAACAAGUUUGGGGACCGAGAUGACACAGAUGAACAAGUUUGAGGACCUAAACAAUCGAUUUGUGAGUUUAGGGACCGGGAUGACACGACAGCACAAGUUUAAGGACCGGUGGUGGACUUUACUCUUUUUUUUCGAUCAAGGGUUGGAGUGUACGUGUACGUGGCCCUGGAUAAAAAAAAUGGGAUUACCAUCUCAUUAUAUUCACUCGCCUAUUGUUUGUUUAAGCAUAUCCUCAAUCUGUUUCAUAUUAUAAAAUAUUUAGCUUUUUUAAAUAUGUAGCUUUUCGUAUAUAUAUAUUAUGUAUAGAUAUAUAUUAAAAAACAAUAUAUUUAGAAAAGUCAAAAUAUUUUAUUAUUUAGAACGGAUGGAGUGUACCUUUGACUAUUGUUUGGUUUUUGCAACAUCGAGAGUAAGUCACCCUUGAGCAGAUAGCAAACUCCUAUAAUUUCUUUUACUAAAAUGUCCCAACCAAGAACAAAAAAGUGUGUGCACAGCUUUACAUUUUAAUGAGAUGUUGGUUAAGCAUAUACUCUCCCUGUUUGUGUAUAAGAUUUUGAAGUCGUUUAGGAUAGUGAUAUGGGCUCCAAAACGUAACUUUGAUCUCUUAUUUUUUAUAAAAAUAUUUAGAAAAAAUGAUAUAUGUAUAUUUUUAUGAAAGUAUUUUGUAAGACAAAUCUAUUCAUAUAAUGUUCACAUUUAUAAAUUCAACAAUUUAAAAGUUAUCGGUGAUUUAUAUUCUCAAUGUUUAACCCAUACUUUGUUCAAAACGACUUCUAAAUCUUAUACGGAUGGAGUAUAUAUUAUUUGGUGUUGGUCGGUUAAGAUAUGUCUUCACAUUUCUAUAGGCGCCGUCAGUAAGUCAUCUAUUGCAUUAUUGAUUCUUGUACCAUCGAGAAAACCGUGAGCAAAACACACACUCUAAUCUUAUUAGAAGGUCUUUCUUUGUAAUUAAUCAAGCACAACGUCGGGUGUACCAUGAGAUGCUUUAAGGAAUAGAGGUAGGUGCUUAUUUAUUUUGAUAUCUUCAUAUUUACUUUGCACUUUGAAAGUUGCUUGUCAUUUAGCACAGUUGACUUAAUAUUAUCAAAACAAAUCUGACUAGGUGACCUCAUCAUUUAUUAGUUUUCUUUUGUGGUUAUUACGCGUGAAAUGAAUGAGUGAGAUACCUUUCUCUCAUAUCUCUAUUGGCAAUCCUAUUCGUACUAGUAUAAGGUAUGCAUAACUUAGAUGUUCAAUUUUUCUGUGCAUUUACUCUAAUACUCUCUAAUUUUUUUUUGCACGAUCUUGGAAGAUUCAUUUGUGGAACCUAAAAAUUUACUCUAUAAACAAAACCCAUAGUUAGCUUGUCUCUUGUGUGAGUAAUCAUCAUGUACUUAGUCUACUAGGCGGGAAUGAGCUCAUUGUAAACCCAUAGUCAGCAUGUCGAUGUACAAACUACUCAUUUCUUGAUCUUAAUACAAUAUUGAGCAAACCUUAGACGUAUUCGAGAAACAAAACUUCAUAAACAAAACCCAUAGUGCCUAACGAAGUAAUGAAAAUGAAACCAAUAGUGAGGAUAGAUACUCUCAAUGCAAAACCUCGCAUGCCGGUCAGCAUGGGCUAAUCUCGCUUGUCCUAUUAGCUUUUUUUGUUGUUGUCACCAUCAAUGCAUUUCUGCCUGAUUUUCAUCAUCCUGGCGAGUAAUCCUGGCCACUGGCACUGUCCCUUGUUGCGUUACUCUGUUCCCGUGGGCCGUGGCAAUGGCAAUGGCAACGGCUUGGGCGUGGACCUAACAAUUCGUUCCUCCUCCACGUCAAAGUCUCCGCUUCCGUUCUUCCUCCACUGGACUCCACUCCUCUUCUCCUUGGGAUCCCAAUCCCGAUUUCUAUUUCUAUAUCCUGCUCAACUCAACGCGGAUGCUCCAGUCAAGUGCCAGUGCACCUCGAGCACGCGCAGGAAGGCAGGAAGCCCGCCGCCGUUCGCUUUGGAUGAUGCCAAUGGCCUCCUCGAGCCUCGGCCGCCUCGUGGUGGCCGUGGCCUUGCUGCUCACGUCGUCCGCCCUCCUCUGCGUCGACGCGUCGGUGCACGACUACGCCGGCGAACGGUUCGCGGCCGACGGCAACGCCUUCGUCCUCCACGGCGGCAGCGAGGGCGUCUACGCCUCCGCUAAGGCCGCCGCGUUCAUCCGGUACGUACGUAUGAAACCGCGUCAGCGGAUCAAUUCAUCGCUUCUUUGCCUUCUUGGGGAGGAGAGGGAUCGAGGGGAUGUGGCUAUGGCGCUGACGCGGUGUGUUUGUUUCUUGAUCCGCGCAUGCAGCUUCGAGAAGGUCGCGUUCUUAAGGACGCCGGAGUCGGCCGCCGCGGCCGAGGUGGACGGCAACCGCACGGCCACGGUCACGGCGGUCAUCUUCGAGGCCGGCGACCGCGACGCCGUCGGGGGCACGGACGUCUCUGUCACCGGCGGGCGUGCGCUCUGCUGCACGGCGGACAUGGCGAAGCUCGGGGCGUGCACCGAGGGUGCGGCGACGUACCGCGCGCGGAACGGCACCGGCUGGCCCAGGGUGCUCGCGGCCUCCUUCCUCCCGGGCGCCCUCGAGGCGGCGUUCCCGGACGAGACCGUCAGCAUGGCGCGCACCGGCAUGUACACCCUCCUGUUCGUCCACUGCGACGCCUCGCUCGCCGGCGGGCAGGUGGACGCGCGGGGCAAGACCAUCUGGAAGAACAGCCGGGGCUACCUCCCGGGGCGGAUGGCGCCGCUGCUGCCCUUCUACGGCGCCAUGUCGCUGGCGUUCGCGGCGCUGGCGGCGUACUGGUUCGCGCAGUGCGCGCGGUUCUGGCGGGAGGUGGUGCCGCUCCAGAGCUGCGCCACGCUGGUGAUCGCGCUGGGGAUGCUGGAGGCCGCCACCUGGUACUUCGACCUCGCCGAGUUCAACGAGUCCGGCGUCCGCCCCCGCGGCGCCACGUUCUGGGCGGCCACGUCCGGCGCGCUCCGCGGCGCGGUGGCGCGCGUGCUAGUGCUGGCCGUGGCCAUGGGCCACGGCGUGGUGCGGCCCGCACUGGCGGGGCUGAAGAGCGCCAGGGUGGCCGGCCUCGGCGCCGCGUUCUUCGCCGCCGCGGAAGCACUCGAGGUCAGCGAGAACGUCGGCACCGUGAGCGACCACUCGCCGUCGCCCACGAGGAGGCUGUUCCUGGUGCUCCCUGUGGCGGCCCUCAACGCGGUGUUCGUGUACUGGAUAUUCAGCUCGCUGUCGAAGACGCUGAACAAGCUCAAGGUGAGGAGCAACACUGUUCCUGCCUACCAUUUCAGCUUGUUUUCUUGAGAUUUCUUCAACAUCAUAAAUACAAGAACUUUUCAAUGUUUGUAGGCGAAAAGAAUGACGGCGAAGCUGGAGAUGUACCGGAGGUUGAACAAUGCCUUGAUCAUCGCGGUGGCCGUGUCACUCGGCUGGAUCACAUUUGAGGUAAACACUAGUACCAACCCCUUUUUUUUGUGUGAGCAGGAGGCUGGAUUCAUUCAACUACUCUUGCUGUCCAGUCUCUCCCUUCCAGAAUUGUACCUUUCAGCAUUUGAUCUUAGUGAACACGUCCCAAUUUGAGUUGAGCAUUGCACAGCCUUAGCCUGAACCAUCCUGUUGAACAAUCAACAUUUCUACCUUUUUUUUUUUGGAUUUGCCCCAAAUGUUCAGUCCAGGACUGAUAGGGAAAGAACCAUCUUUUGUGACUGAUACAAUCCUGAUGUUUAUGGUCUAGUCUAGGUUAGUGAUCAGACGAUGCCCCUGCCCUCAGGUAACAUGUUGGUCUGUGCACUCAGGAGUAGCUCUAGUGCCCUUGAGAUUUCUUAGUCUGAAUGCGAAUGAUGUGCAGCUGAAAGAAACAACACUUCUGCAUUACCCUGCACUCCAUCUUUACUAGACAGUGACAAAACCUGCGGUUACCAAACACAGCCGGAUCCCUGAUCAUCUGCAAAUUGCUACGCUCUCGCCUGCAGGUCCACUUCAAGUCGACGGACGAGUACAACGAGCGGUGGCGCGCGGCGUGGGUGAUCCCGGCGGUGUGGCAGGUCAUCUCCUUUUCGCUGCUGUGCGCCGUCUGCCUCAUGUGGGCGCCCUCGCAGAGCUCGACGAGGUACGCCUACCUGGAAGACGACGACGAGGAGGAGGAGGGCGAGGGCGAGGACGAGGACACGCGGCCGCUGAUCAGACCCGGCCCGCUGUCGUACGUGGACAACUGGGCCAUCUCCGUGUCCAAGGACGCCACCACCGUCAUUCUGAGAACCGACUCCGGCGUGUACACGAAAGCCGCCGGCGAUGGAGGCAAGCGGGUGUAGUGAAGCACCAGCGACGAUCCAGAGGUUGACGAUACAACUAUACGAGAGCAAGUAAGGCGUUGCGUCAGCAAGAUAUGUCAGAGAGUGGCAGCUGUGUCUGUACGCUCGUUUGCAGUGUUGCUCGUUUCUUUGAUAAUCUCAAGGCUUUAGCUAGAGUAGGCUAAAGCUGGUGACAGAUGCAAAGCCGCAAGCAAGUGCGUGUAGACGGCGUGUAAUGUAGCCUCUCUCUAGGCUGAUUUUUGCGCGAGUAAGUAGAAACAUGACGCGUUCGAGAAGAACGACUCUAAACUGUAAGGACUGCCAAGUUCAAAUGACAACAGGGCCCAGUGUUUCAUCCUCUUCAUCUCACACCCUUCUCUUGAGAUUGUCUUCUAGGUACAAUUCUUCUAUUCUUUCAAAUCGAGCAAGAUUUGACUGGCAGCGCCGACGCAAGACCAUUGCAUACCGAAAAGGCCAGAAAAACUCAGAAAGCCCAACAAACCUUAAAACUCGGUAAGCCCAAAAAUUAAGAAAGCCCAACACAAAUCUUUGUUUCUGAAUUGGUUGGGGUGCGCCAGGCUCGGACUGUAGUGCAACGCCCGAGCGACACGCGAGGGCCCCAGUGGCAAGCCACGGAGGUGGACCCUCCCCCACAAAAAAUAAAUUUAAUAUCGAAGUAGGCACAUGGCCCACGUAUCAGAUAUUAAACUGAUAAGAACAGAUACUACACUUGAUCUUAGCCAAAAGGCCGAGAAAGGUAUGAGUUGGAACGGAGCCCUGGGUCUGUUUUUAUUGCCUUCCUCCGUCUCCGCCCGCUCAAAGCCGCCGAGUUGGGACUAAUGAACUGAAGCGCCCGGCCGCCCGCACACCGCACAGGCACAUAGCGCAGCGCGUGCGCUUGCUGAUUGCUCUGUUUGGUGACUUGGGCCUUUUGGGCUCGCAAUUUGGUAAUCCACACACGUUGCUCGCGGCCCAGUCCUGCUCGCCUCCUCCCAACGACCGUGCGCGCGGCUAUCUCGACCAAGUUCCCCAACUCCGUAGCAGCAGCGUUAUACACCCGCGCCACCGCCGCCGCCGCCGCCGCCGCCGUUCCACGCCGUCCUCGCAUAGUCACCUUCCGCGCACGUCGUGGGUGAAGGACAUACGGAGCGGAUAUUUGUCCCCGCAACGUCCGCCUCGCCCGGUUAGGUCGCGACUGCGGACUCCCAGCCGUCCGCGCGAUUUCCACGCUCGCCGUCGCCGCCUUCCCGGCAGAGGGCAGCGGCUGCCACCCGACCUCCCCACCUCCCGCUCCCUAUUCUGGCGUCUGCGCGCCUCCCGGCCGCCUCCUGCAAGCUGCGGCAGGGUCUCCAGCCGGCCAGCUGCGGCCAGGUGACGGCCGCCCCUUGUCCCCUUCUGCCGCUGAGGGUCAGAGUUCAAGCUUCAAGGUGAGAACAGAAUACAGAAGCCUCUCCCUUGAUCUGUUCCUAGACCCGCCACUGGCCGUGCACCGAAUCAUUGAAGCUGCCAGGGACGCGGAGCGGCGGACCGGAGGUCACUGGGGCCACCACGACAGCCUCCAGUUCGAGCCAAGCCGGGGCGCUGUCGAGUCCUUGGUAGCUGCCGCUCCGACCUUUACUGGACUUGGAUGUUGCCUCAGCAGUCCGCAGGUGCUAACUGUCGUGUUAUUUGAAUAUAGUGUUGUGUCUUUUUUUUUUUCGAAACAUAGUGUUUUGUCUUUUUAGUUCUCCUGUGGAGCAUUUUAACAUAUCAUUUCAGUUCAGAUUAAGAGCGUCCAAAGUGAGUGCUUACUUGCAGACUUGCAGCUAUCUUGGUCUUAGGUUACUUGCAUUAGUUAGUUGAGCGUUUGUCCAACAAAGUACGGUCCACCUCGUGACAUGUUGCUCUAGUCUUAGUAUACAGGCGUUGUUGAGAAACUUCUAUGCUAGGAGUAGAAAGGUUGGAUCUGUUACUUCAAACAGAGCUAUUGAUCACUUACAGUGACCAUGUUUCUUUUAUUGGGUUUCUUGGGUGACAAUUUGAUGUAAUUCGGAAGCUAUUAUCUCUUCUCUCUCAGGUUGUCCUUUCCAUCGACUUGUCAAGUAAUAUUGGUCCAUGAAGUGUAGUUCGUGGACAGCUCAUCCCUGCUUCUGCUGGUACUGUCAAUGUAAGGAGGGGAUCGGCAUCCCUUGUCUAUGCACCGGGCAGGCCCAUUGUUUCUGCGCCGAGCCCUUCUGAUCAGGAGCUAUCCCCCAGUGUCACACCUGUCCUCUCAGGCUUGUUGGUUGAACAGCUCUGAUAAUGAAGAGCCCAGUCAGAGUUCUGCUUACGGUGAUUAUAGAAGUCGCCGUCUGCUUCCCUUGAUCACACUAGCAGUGCGGGCGUCGAAUUGGGAUGCUGCCAGAAAUAUAAGCUUCAGGGAGUGUGUGAGGUUAUAUGGGUCAUCUCAGUCAGUUAGUCUGUUUGCUUUGCUUGUGCAGGCAUUCUUGCCGCGGAGAAUCAGAGAGGUCCGGUGCUUGAUUCAGAGCAUUGUUGAUUACUGUGGAAAUGCUGGGUCACAGUUGUUUGAGUUGGCUCCUAUGUUGGUCAGCAAUUUGGGUCAGUCAAUGACGCUGUUACAAGUUUAUGCUGCGGUCAUCCGUAUUUUUGUAGAGUCGUCAAUGUUUGAGGAUGCUCUUCUCACUUAUAUUGAGGUCAAGAACUUUGGUGUUGACAGACGUUUGUGCAAUUUCUUGCUGAAGUGCUUAGUCGAGGGGAAUCAGAUCAUGUAUGCGAGGAGUUUAUUUGAUGACAUGAAAAGUUGUGGUCCUUCACCCAAUGUCUGCUCUUAUUCAAUUUUGAUGAGUAUGUACACACAUGGAGAGAGGUUAUGCUUAGAUGAAGCUUUUGAGCUUCUUUGUGAAAUGGAAUCAAAUGGUGUGAGACCGAACGCUACAACAUAUGGAACUUACCUCUAUGGGCUUUGCCGUUCCAGACAGGUAACAUCUGCAUGGGACUUUCUUCAAACUCUUUCUCAGAGUGGUGGCCCUUGCAGCAAUUAUUGUUUCAAUGCUGUGAUUCAUGGUUUCUGUAGCGAGGGUCAGGUUGACAAAGCUGUAGAAGUGUUUCAUGGGAUGAAGAAAUGUGGGUUUGUCCCAGAUGUCCACAGCUACAGCAUAUUAGUUGAUGGGUUAUGCAAACAUGGGGAUUUAUUGAAAGGUUAUGACAUGCUUGAUGAAAUGGCAAGAAAUGGAAUAUGUCCUAAUCAAGUCAGUUACAGUUCACUUCUGCAUGGCCUUUGCAAAACUGGACAGGUUGCAUUGGCAUUAAAGAUUUUCAAGAACCUCCAAGACCAAGGUUUUGAGCAUGACCAGAUAAAUUACAGCAUCAUUCUUCAUGGCUGUUGCCAACAUUUAGAUCUCAAGGCCAUCUCUGACCUUUGGUUUGACAUGAUUCAUCAUGAUAUCGCUCCAGAUGUUUACAAUUAUACCAGUCUGAUCUACGCAUUUUGUAGACAUAGAAACCUUCAAGAUGCAUUGGGAGUGUUUGGGCUCAUGCUUGAAAAUGGGUUGAGUCCCAACAUUGUGACAUGCACAAUCCUAGUUGACAGCUUUAGCAAAGAAGGGCUAGUUGGUGAAGCUUUCCUGUUCCUGGAUAGAAUACAUCAGUCAUUGGGAAUCGUCCCAAACCUUUGCAUGUACAGAGUUAUUAUCAAUGGCCUUUGCAAGACCAACAAAUAUAGUGAUGUGUGGAAAUUUUUUGCAGACAUGAUAAAGAGGGGCUAUGUUCCUGAUGUUGUCCUUUACAGUAUUAUUAUUGAUGGCUUCGUGAAAGCUCUGAAGUUGCAGGAGGCCUUAAGGUUGUAUCGUAAGAUGUUGGAUGAAGGCGUAAAACCUAACACAUUUACAUAUUCUAGCCUCAUAAAUGGGCUGUGUAAUGAUGAUAGACUUCCUGAAGCUAUGGGAUUGAUUAAGGAUAUGAUUGGGGAAGACCUGUUACUUGACAAUAUUUUGUACACAUCUAUCAUUGCUUGCUAUUGUAGGCGUUUAAAUAUGAAGGCUGCUAAUGAAUGGCUCAGAGAAAUGGAAAGAAGUGGUGUGUUCCCAGAUGCUUUUGUAUAUACUUGUAUGAUUGAUGGUUAUAGUAAAGUGCUUGCAAUGGAUGGUGCGCGCUUGAUGAUGGAAGAAAUGGAAAAAAGAAAGCUUAAACUUACUGUAGUAACCUACACAGCUCUCAUUAUUGGAUACCUUAAAACGGGGGAUGAGAAGGAAGCUUGUAUGAUGUAUGAGAGUAUGCGUCAUGCAGGCAUUGCUCCAGAUGCCAAGCUGCGUUGCAUUUUGGGCAUUGGCAAUGACAAGGGUGAUUGUGAUGAUUCUCAGAAAGCGAAGGGUGUAACAUAAUUUUCACAUAGAGAUUUAUUAACUUGAUGAAGGGACUUCUCUGUGAUGGCUCUGAGCUCGCCUAGUGCAUGACACUGUUGGCUCCAUUUGUUUCCUCCACUUCCACACUGCCAUCCUAUGGACAACGAAUGGAAAGCAGUAACCUGAAAAGUGGCAGUUAAAUCCAUGGACAACAGCUGAGGGUGUAAUCAAUACAGGUUAGCCCUUGCCUUAUGCAAAUAAUCAGAUAAGAUAUUAAUCUGCCUUUUAAAAAUGCUUCUUUGUUUAAAGUGUUACAUUAAUAUACCAUCACACUGAAAUUUUCCCUGCUUUCCAAGUUUCAUGUUUAGAAAGGUUUUCUCCAUUUGUUUCUAUAAGACUACAAUACAUUCAACCAUGCUGUUAUUUCUAGAUCGUUUUGCUGUAGAAUAUUUUUUACCAUUUGUAGCACUUGUAAAGCUAUGAGUUUGACAGAACUGAAAGAUCACAGCAAUUCAUGAAAGUAAUCAAAUGGCUGUGCUCCAUACCUGCAGUCAAUGCCAUGCCAUUAAUAAGUUGAUUGACGCUUAAUGGACCACCUUCCCUGCCUUUUCAUCCUCUUCAAAGAGAACAAAACCUCAUUUCAUCCUCUCCUGUGUGGCUCAUAGGGAGUUUGGGUCCUCCUCUAGACUGAUGCAUGAGCUGCCUCACUGUAAGACACCGCACUCUGACUGAAGCCACCACAUGGCUCAAGAGGCAAGAUACUCCAGGCCACCAUGCCACCGCUCUGUUUUGAAAUCCCUUGACCAAAUUAUUGUUUGGUAGAAAGCGAUUGGGUUUGCCAUGGUGCCCAUAAAUCAAUUGUAUGAAAAAGGCAAUGAUAUUAUUCUGCAUUUCUAGAGAGUAUGCUAUGUCUGAAUUCUAGGAAUCAAAAUGUUCUUUCUGUGGAAAGUUUACUUAUGAAUUUAUGAUAUUUUCCAAAUAUAUUUUAAUAUUUUUCAUAAAUUCACAGCUUGGGUUUUUGAGAAGCAUGGUUGUUACUCUGUUUGGUCGGCCUAUUGGCUCUGGCCGCAGAGCAAUGACAAUAAUAGCCUAGGGGUGAGCUACCCUUUCAUUGACUGACCAUCAACCAAUGUGAAAGAAGUAGAAGCUCCUGAUGGAGUUAGUCCCGAUGGAGUUAGACCUUUACUGCCAAGAUGUGUCUUUACUUGAGAUGGCUGCAUGGUUUCCAGCCAAUUAAGCACACUUUAACAAGUGGCUUAUACAGAUCCUGGGCCCUGUGGAAUGUAAUACAUAAUUUAGCAUUUAUACCCACACCCAAGAACUCGCUUGAAAUAUAUCUUGCAUGACAAAUAUUGUGCAAUGGAGAUGACAGCUUGUUUCUAUGCAGAAUGUGAGCAAUCUGGACUAACUGAAAUAAUAAAGAAGCAUGGCGAUAAGGAGUGGAAGCCAGAGCUUGCUGUCACAUGAGUUCAGGAGGUGCAGCUGCAGACUUGCUGAGCAUGGCAGCUAAGCUGAGCAACAAUAAGAAGCAAGAAGUGGGGGUGCAUUAAGAACCACCACAGAUAUAUGGUGGAAAGUUAACACACAGCAAAUUUUCUGCCAGCUUAUCCAGAGGGCAGCAAUUAGCAGGUGUCGUCAUUUCCUACUUCAGCAAGGCCUCUUGCAGGCUAACUCAUGGUGGCUUGAUAAUUCCUGAUGCUCCAGAGGUGGAGGCGCUCACUUGCAAGAAUGCUGUGUAAACUGCAUAGGAUCACAAGCUGCAGGGUAAUUUGAUGCGGGUGUGAAAACUGAACAAGCUGCGUAGGAUCACAAGCUGCAGGGUAAUUUGAUGUGAAAACUGAACAUUGUUGAGGCGGGUGUGAGGAACAACUAAACAAGAAAGAAAUAGGUCAGGCAUCGACACCUUUCUGGAAGAAAUUGAGGUGAUCUACCAGUAUUUUGAUGGUUUGAAUGUUUACUUUACAAUUUUUUAGAGUUAUAGGGCAGAGCCCUGGUCUUAGCAGUAACAAUGACCAACUGUUUACAGCAUCCAGGUGGAUAACACAUUCCCAACAAGUCCACAAAGCACACAACUAAGAUAUCUCCCCAGAAAACACCACACUGAGCUCAAAAACCAAUUACAUGCCCCACUCGGAACCCAACUUCAGAAAACUAACCCAUUUCCCCUCUUGAAACACCCCCCCCCCCCCCCCCCAAAGGCAAGAACUUCACCAGGCGAAUUUUGACUUCAGCCGGAACUUCUGUCAGCUCCCAAGCAGAAGCACUCUGGUAAAAAUUUCUCCCAUUUGUCAACCACUUGGUUUAACCAUGCAGGCUUGGUGGCGGCGGCCUGCAAACUCCAUGGCACAUGCCUGUGCUCAACAGCUCUCUGACAUUAACCUUCUUUGUAUUCCCCUGUUAAUCUGUUCAUUAUUAUGGCAGAUGCUUUUGAUUGUUCUUGCAUCUAGAGUCUAUAUAUUGAUUCUGUGGUGCACACUGAAUUUAGGAUGCUUGCUUUAGUCUAUCUCUCACCCUAUGUCAAAAUACAUUUUUUUGCUUUAGCUAUGAAAAAUGCAUUUCAUUAGCAAGUUUGGAGACUCACUUCAGAUUGUAGCUUAGGAAUAUAAGUUUCUAGGAUUACAGGUAUGUUCUAGCAAAGGCAAAAGUUCAAAUCUAGCUGACACUCAAGGCAUGUAGAUUUACAGAACAUUUAGUCUGUUUCUUUGGAAAGUAAGGUGGAACAUUGCAUAGGGUGAUUACCAGUGAACCUCAUAUAUAUAUAUAUAUAUAUAUAUAUAUAUAUAUAUAUAUAUAUAUAUAUAUAUAUAUAUAUAUAUAUAUAUAUAUUUCAUUUUGGUUAUUUUCAGUGUAUGAUCAUGCAAGUAUCUGCUGACAGAAAACAGUUGGCGAUGAAGCAACAGUGGUCAGGAUCCAUAUGGCGUCGGAUUGUGCAGCCGUACGUCUACCAUGCCACCAUCAUGAACGGGUACUCUUCAGACUGUUGCCAGGUGAGCAUGGAACUUGGACUGCGAAUGCAUCGCAUCUUUGUGCUAAUGCUGUGACCAUGAUUUUAGUCCCAAGGUUGAUGUGCCUGUUUAUCCAUAGCAUUAAGUAAUCCUUGCAUGUAUCUGUGUUUCCGUCUUGCCACAACCACAACUUCGUGUUUUAUUUUAUAUAUAUAUAUAUAUAUAUAUAUAUAUAUAUAUAUAUAUAUAUAUAUAUAUUCCUGUGUCAUGCCUUCCUUGAUGACAGAGCUAUCAGGAAUUAGGCAUAACUGUUUCCAUUCUGGUAUUGUAAUGUACCAUUAUGUUUUGAUUCAUUUCACUCUAUAAAACAUUCUUUUUUUCGCUUACUAUAUGCAGCGCUGCUGCGCAGGGACCUCUAUCAGCACAAGAUGUCACACUCCACAGUCCACGGUCCACACGAUGGCAGGACCUCAAGCUUUUCUUUGCACGCAGAGCUCGGCAGCAGCCUUGGAACGGUCCGCAUGGCCGUGAGCACGCGUUCUCAGUUUGUUCGAGUCACGGCAGGCCGGAGGUCAGCGUCGUCGACGAGGGAGCAGCAGCGUCUGGGCGUCUGGCGCAACCAACAUUUGGCCUGCACGCCACAAUUGACUUGAGGGGUUUGGCUGUCGUGUGCGGCGAGCUUGCGGCUCCGAUCCGGGACCGGGGACGAGUCGACGUAUCCAGGCUCCAUGUGGCCGUCUCCAUCGGCAAGAUAUCGCCUGUCCCCCCUCUCCUGGUCUCGUGCUUUCCAGCUUCCCAUCAUGAUCUCGCAAGUGACUGCAUAAAUCACACGAUCGCAAUUGCAAAUUCUCCCGAGACACUUGUAAAGUGUAUUUUCAGGAAGUCUGUUUUGGACUUGAUCAAUCAUCGCUGGUAUUAUUGGCCGCGAAGCAUCCAUACGGCUCCAGGAUUAUGAUUGUCUCCUCACCUCAUGCGUUAAUUCGCGCUUCAUCAUUCAAGCCGUGCGUGAUCUUUCUUUCAGACGCAUAUAAUUCAGAUGUGCAUCUUGGACACGGCGAUAUUUGCUAAUAAUUCAGGUUUGGAUGGAGCGAGGCCAAGGUGCAACACGUUUCCUGCCGACCUACUCGCAAGUUCCUUUCUUCUUUUUAUUUUUUCUUGUGUAUGUAAAGAACAUGAUUAGCAUCGAUUCGAGCAGAUUUUGGUCUGGCUGUUUCGCAUGCUGGCUGUUUAUUAUAUACUUCAGCCAUUUCUUUUUUAAAACUGUUUAUCUACGUACUGGACUCCUGGCAACACACAACAGUCGUUAUGGAAAUAUCCUGGGCCUUGGCCUAAUUUCAACACGAUGACGGCUCCUGUCAGAAAUACGAGUAGUACCUGACAGACUGUACAAUAGCCAUUCCGUACGCUCUGUUUAUUCACACGUGUUUCAUCGGCCCCUCCCGCUACUCGCACGCUCGCCAGCGUGGGGGGACUCGUACGGUCGUACCCGACACUACUGCCCGUACAUCGUUCACUGCUCGGCGCCCAGUGCACGCCACAGCUGCAGCUGCCGUUGCCGAGCAGCGCGCGGCGGCAUGUGGCAGUCCUGGAGCAGUCAAGCACCGCGCGACUACACUGAUGACAUGACCGACCCGACCCGACCCGCCGCUGCAGGGGAGCGGAGGCCACUGCAGGAGAUGAGAUCGGGCGCGCGAUCGAUUUUCCUCCGGCCGCGGACCCACGGGCCAGCCAGCGGCGCGGGUCAGCAGGUCAGCGUGGUGCACUGGCACUCACACGGACCGUGACCAACGGCUGCGACGCAGACAGUAGAGUAGAUUUUUCAUCAGGAUCUCGAGCAGUCGAGCACAGGCAGGCACAGUACUAGGAGGCGCAUGGGCACGCAGGGCAGCGUCAGGGGAAUGGGACGCGUUGGUUUCCCGGCGACCCCGUGCGUAGGAGUACAACGUCCUUCGCAGACCACAGCACAGGCCGCGACGACAGUGACACGCCGCGCCCGCGCCAAAGUCACCGGCCGGGGGCCUCGUACCGUGCUCCUGCUCCGGGACGCGGAAGCACUCGCUAGUGGGCGGCAGCGCGAGGUGGACGACGACCCGGCCGGCUUUUAGGAGAAGUCGUCCCUCCCCUCCCCCCCUCGCUGCUGUGACUAGGCUACUGCCUACUACUGGCUACACUCUCUCGAGUCGAAUUGCAUCAGUGCAUGGGAGGAGGUCGUCGCAAGGCCUCGACUUUUCACACGCAUCUAUUUUCCCUUCCGGUAGCCUUGUUUAGUUGUAAAAAUUUUUGGAAAAUUGACACCGUAGCAUUUUCGUUUGUAUUUGACAAAUAUUAUCCAAUCAUAAACUAAUUAAACUCAAAAGAUUCGUCUCGUUAAUUCCGACCAAACUGUGCAAUUAAUUUUUAUUUUCGUCUAUAUUUAAUACUCUAUGCAUACGUCUAAAGAUUCGAUGAAUUUUGCAAAUUUUUUGGGAACUAAACAAGGGUAGCCAUGCCUCAUGCGUGUGGACAGUGGUGGAACAUGCAUGAUGCCUAGCCUUGUUUAGCUGGGGAGUAAAAACAUUUUUUUUAUGUCACAUCGGAUGUUUCAUAAAAUGAUAGAAGAAGUAUUUGAAUACUAAUAAAAAAAUAAAUUACAUAGCUCACCUCGAAACCGCAAGACAAAUUUAUUAAGCAUAAUCAAUUUGUCAUUAGCACAUGUGGGUUACUGUAGCAGUUAUGGCUAAUCAUAGGCUAAUUAGGCUUAAAAGAUUUCUCACACGAUAUACAACCAAACUGUGCAAUUAGUUUUUGUUUUCGUAUAUAUGUAUAUAUUUAAUGCUUCAUACGUGUGUCCAAAAAUUUGAUGUGAUAUAUGAAAAGUUUUUGGGUGGGAACUAAACAGGGCCACCAUGUUUAGUUGUGAAAAGUUUUUGGAUUUUUGACACUGUGGCAUUUUCGUUUGUAUUUAAUAAUUACUGUCUAACUAUAGACUACCUAAGCUCAAAAGAUUCGUCUCGUAAAUUACAAGCAAACUGUGUAAUUAGUAUUUGUUUUCAUUUAUAUUUAGUGUUCCAUAUAUGCAUGUGCCACAAGAUUUGAUAUGACGGAGAAUCUUGAAAAGUUUUUGAAUUUUGGGGUAAACUAAACAAGGCCUUACUAUAUGUCGUUGAAUUAUUGAAGACAACCUUCUCAACAUUCAGUCAGGAUUAGGCCACAACCAUUCGUUGAAUUUUCGAGGAAUAAUCAUGUAAAAUCUUACUAGUGCUAGUCAAGUUCCGGGUGGCCCAGGCAUGAGAAGCCAGGACGACUGACUCGGUAUAUGAUGUACUCGCACGUACACAGAUUGCCGCCAGUUUUCAAGAACGAGUCAAGUACGUGGGUGUACGUGCAGCAGAUCUCUACUUGUAGCACCAGCACUGCAGCUCAGCAAUUGUUUAGUUCGGAGUAUUUCUGUUUGUAUUUGGUAAUUAUUGAACUAAUUGAACUGACGACGCUGGAACGCACAACCACAACGCAACCAUGCAUGCACAUCCACAGGUCACUGUCACUUAUUACAGUAUUACUUGAAAGCUAUUCUCUGAACUACUGGUACAUACUACCUCACUCCGUGAGUCCGUGUUUUGCGUUUGUCAAUGCACCGGCGCUUAGAGUUGAACGUCGACUAGACUAGCAGUU